UUGCAGCCAGUUAAGCCGACUGUGCUCUUUUCCCCAUGGGGGCCCGGUGCGCAGUGGCUGCAAACAGCAGCCUCCUCGGUAGUGUGUGCGGCCUGUUGCCUGUACAGGCUGCCCUAAGGGACCCUGGAGACAGCC
This 135-nucleotide small nucleolar RNA is filed under the name Delphinapterus leucas (beluga whale). Its description in RNAcentral is "Small nucleolar RNA SNORA70 (ENSDLEG00000011141.1)". It matches the Rfam family "Small nucleolar RNA SNORA70". From Rfam's summary of the family: snoRNA U70 seems to be exclusive to mammals and is a member of the H/ACA class of snoRNA which contain H (ANANNA) and ACA box motifs. The record is from Rfam by way of RNAcentral. Lineage: Eukaryota; Metazoa; Chordata; Mammalia; Artiodactyla; Monodontidae.